GACAGAGGGUGCAAACGUUGUCCGGAUUUAUUGGGCGUAAAGAGCGUGUAGGCGGCCAGACAGGUCCGUUGUGAAAACUCGAGGCUCAACCUCGAGACGCCGAUGGAAACCGUCUGGCUAGAGUCCGGAAGAGGAGAGUGGAAUUCCUGGUGUAGCGGUGAAAUGCGCAGAUAUCAGGAAGAACACCCGUGGCUAAGGCGGGUCUCUGGGCCGAUACUGACGCUGAGGAGCGAAAGCGUGGGGAGCGAACAGG
RNAcentral lists this ribosomal RNA (253 nucleotides) under uncultured bacterium. Its description in RNAcentral is "partial 16S ribosomal RNA". It matches the Rfam family "Bacterial small subunit ribosomal RNA", at positions 524 to 776 of the family's 1533-position model. The record is from RNAcentral.